RNAcentral lists this ribosomal RNA (256 nucleotides) under uncultured bacterium. RNAcentral's name for it is "partial 16S ribosomal RNA". It matches the Rfam family "Bacterial small subunit ribosomal RNA", at positions 524 to 776 of the family's 1533-position model. The record is from RNAcentral.
UACGUAGGCAGCAAGCGUUGUUCGGAAUUACUGGGCGUAAAGAGUGUGUAGGCGGUGCUCUAAGUUCGGUGUGAAAUCUCCCGGCUCAACUGGGAGGGGUGCGCCGGAAACUGGGGGUGCUGGAGCGCGGGAGAGGAAAGCGGAAUUCCUGGUGUAGCGGUGAAAUGCGUAGAUAUCAGGAGGAACACCGGCGGUGUAGACGGCUUUCUGGACCGUAGCUGACGCUGAGACACGAAAGCGUGGGGUAGCAAACAGG